GGCCCCCGCAUCAACGACAUCAAGAGGAUCAUCCAAGGCCGCCAGUGAGAGAUGUGGGAGCUCAAGGAGAAGAUGAACCAGGUGGAGGACGAGGUUUUUGAGGAAUUCUGCCGGGAAAUCGGCGUGCGGA
Molecule: long non-coding RNA, 130 nt
Organism: Nothoprocta perdicaria
Lineage: Eukaryota; Metazoa; Chordata; Aves; Tinamiformes; Tinamidae
Exons: 2
Source: RefSeq, a predicted model, not a curated record